This 425-nucleotide ribosomal RNA is filed under the name uncultured cyanobacterium. RNAcentral describes it as "bacterial SSU rRNA". It matches the Rfam family "Bacterial small subunit ribosomal RNA", at positions 356 to 795 of the family's 1533-position model. Lineage: Bacteria; Bacillati; Cyanobacteriota. The record is from RNAcentral.
GGGGAAUUUUCCGCAAUGGGCGAAAGCCUGACGGAGCAAUACCGCGUGAGGGAGGAAGGCUUUUGGGUUGUAAACCUCUUUUAAUAAGGAAGAAGAAAGUGACGGUACUUAUUGAAUAAGCAUCGGCUAACUCCGUGCCAGCAGCCGCGGUAAGACGGAGGAGGCAAGCGUUAUCCGGAAUUAUUGGGCGUAAAGCGUCCGCAGGCGGCUUUUUAAGUCUGUUGUUAAAGCCCACAGCUCAACUGUGGAUCGGCAAUGGAAACUGGGAGGCUAGAGUGUGGUAGGGGUAGAGGGAAUUCCUAGUGUAGCGGUGAAAUGCGUAGAUAUUAGGAAGAACACCAGUGGCGAAGGCGCUCUACUGGGCCAUAACUGACACUGAUGGACGAAAGCUAGGGGAGCGAAAGGGAUUAGAUACCCCAGUAGUC